Molecule: ribosomal RNA, 496 nt
Filed under: uncultured bacterium
Lineage: Bacteria
Description: partial 16S ribosomal RNA
Rfam family: Bacterial small subunit ribosomal RNA
Source: RNAcentral
AUGAACGCUGGCGGCGUGCCUAAUACAUGCAGGUCGAGCGAACGGACGAGAAGCUUGCUUUUCUGAUGUUAGCGGCGGACGGGUGAGUAACACGUGGAUAACCUACCUAUAAGACUGGGAUAACUUCGGGAAACCGGAGCUAAUACCGGAUAAUAUUUUGAACCGCAUGGUUCAAAAGUGAAAGACGGUCUUGCUGUCACUUAUAGAUGGAUCCGCGCUGCAUUAGCUAGUUGGUAAGGUAACGGCUUACCAAGGCAACGAUGCAUGGCCGACCUGAGAGGGUGAUCGGCCACACUGGAACUGAGACACGGUCCAGACUCCUACGGGAGGCAGCAGUAGGGAAUCUUCCGCAAUGGGCGAAAGCCUGACGGAGCAACGCCGCGUGAGUGAUGAAGGUCUUCGGAUCGUAAAACUCUGUUAUUAGGGAAGAACAUAUGUGUAAGUAACUGUGCACAUCUUGACGGUACCUAAUCAGAAAGCCACGGCUAACUACGUG